This 561-nucleotide ribosomal RNA is filed under the name uncultured bacterium. Its description in RNAcentral is "partial 16S ribosomal RNA". It matches the Rfam family "Bacterial small subunit ribosomal RNA", at positions 355 to 937 of the family's 1533-position model. The record is from RNAcentral.
UGGGGAAUAUUGCACAAUGGGCGAAAGCCUGAUGCAGCAACGCCGCGUGAGUGAUGAAGGCCUUCGGGUUGUAAAGCUCUGUCUUUUGGGACGAUAAUGACGGUACCAAAGGAGGAAGCCACGGCUAACUACGUGCCAGCAGCCGCGGUAAUACGUAGGUGGCAAGCGUUGUCCGGAUUUACUGGGCGUAAAGGAUGCGUAGGCGGAUUUUUAAGUGAGAUGUGAAAACCCUAAGCUUAACUUGGGGACUGCAUUUCAUACUGGAAAUCUAGAGUGCGGGAGAGGAGAAUGGAAUUCCUAGUGUAGCGGUGAGAUGCGUAGAGAUUAGGAAGAACACCAGUGGCGGAGGCGAUUCUCUGGACCGUAACUGACGCUGAGGCAUGAAAGCGUGGGUAGCAAACAGGAUUAGAUACCCUGGUAGUCCACGCCGUAAACGAUGAGUACUAGGUGUAGGAGGUAUCGACCCCUUCUGUGCCGCAGUUAACACAAUAAGUACUCCGCCUGGGAAGUACGAUCGCAAGAUUAAAACUCAAAGGAAUUGACGGGGUCAUAGCUGUUUCC